This 345-nucleotide long non-coding RNA is filed under the name Chrysolophus pictus (golden pheasant). Its description in RNAcentral is "lncRNA (ENSCPIG00010002418.1)". The record is from RNAcentral. Lineage: Eukaryota; Metazoa; Chordata; Aves; Galliformes; Phasianidae.
GCUUAUAUGAUCUAUUGUUUGUAUAGCAGUGUGUUGGGCAUCUCACACAAUCCUACCAAGGUCUGGAGUGUAAGUUUACUUCUAGCUCUUGUCUGAACCAUGAAGAGUGAAGAAACAGAAGAUAUUUUAUAAGAUGUUCCUACCAUUUCUACUGAAUUUUACGAUUCAUGAUUCUCAAUUACUUCUUCAAGAUGAUAACACAUGCACUUUAGAGGACAUCACACAAAUAUGAGGAAGCAAGCACAGUUAGGAAAUACAGAUUUCAGUACCUCUGGAAGAUUCAGGCAAAAAAAACCCUAAAAUCGUGGACAAAAUUGAAGGUAAAGGUAUAAUUUCCUGCUUAUU